UCUGCCUAUUAGUGGGGGACAACAUUUCGAAAGGAAUGCUAAUACCGCAUACGUCCUACGGGAGAAAGCAGGGGAUCUUCGGACCUUGCGCUAAUAGAUGAGCCUAAGUCGGAUUAGCUAGUUGGUGGGGUAAAGGCCUACCAAGGCGACGAUCUGUAGCGGGUCUGAGAGGAUGAUCCGCCACACUGGGACUGAGACACGGCCCAGACUCCUACGGGAGGCAGCAGUGGGGAAUAUUGGACAAUGGGCGCAAGCCUGAUCCAGCCAUGCCGCGUGUGUGAAGAAGGCCUUAUGGUUGUAAAGCACUUUAAGCGAGGAGGAGGCUACUUUAGUUAAUACCUAAAGAUAGUGGACGUUACUCGCAGAAUAAGCACCGGCUAACUCUGUGCCAGCAGCCGCGGUAAUACAGAGGGUGCAAGCGUUAAUCGGAUUUACUGGGCGUAAAGCGCGCGUAGGCGGCUAAUUAAGUCAAAUGUGAAAU
Molecule: ribosomal RNA, 481 nt
Filed under: Acinetobacter sp.
Lineage: Bacteria; Pseudomonadati; Pseudomonadota; Gammaproteobacteria; Moraxellales; Moraxellaceae
Description: bacterial SSU rRNA
Rfam family: Bacterial small subunit ribosomal RNA
Source: RNAcentral